Long non-coding RNA from Helianthus annuus (common sunflower), 1056 nucleotides. RefSeq lists it as uncharacterized. The record is from RefSeq and is a predicted model, not a curated record. NCBI's taxonomy places the organism in Eukaryota, Viridiplantae, Streptophyta, Magnoliopsida, Asterales, Asteraceae. The transcript has 3 exons.
UUAAACUUAAAACUAAUCAUAAUCAACAUUUUUUUAUACUAUCACUAUAUUCUCCUAUAUAUUAAUAACCCAAGCCUUUGAACAGCAGAAAGGGUUAGCUUUGGUAUUUCACCAACAAACUUGACAAAAAAGCCUAGGUGAUUGUCACAGCCACCACUGCCAUAUCUCCGACAGAAACUCACCGCCACCGCCACCAGUGCCAUAUCUCCGAUAGAAGAUGGAAAACAGGAUAUUUAUUUGGCUUAUAAAAGUAUGAAAUGCCUAACCAUCAUAUCAACUUUGAAGAUGGAAAACAGGAUAUUUAUUUGGCUUAUAAAAACGCGGUAUGAUGGUGUUUAUUUGGUGGUGUGGGCAUAUGGAUAUGGACCACCGUAAUCAGCUCCAAUAGAUGGAUGUCUGGCUAACAUGGUCGAAUGAAACAGGUCUGAUUGCCUCAAUGACCUGAAUUUUAAUGUUCAGUGUAAGUCAGAGUUAAGGUAACCUUUAAAAUAAAGACUCUGUUUGGCGAGUUGUAUUGAUUUUAAAAGUCUACAUGUUGUAAAAGAAAAGAUGUAAUUAGAGAAAUUAGCAUUUGUUGUAUAAAAUUUGUUGCUAUAAAUGAAAGUUUUGGAAACUAACUCAUAUGUUAAAAAUGGAAGGCAAAUGAACAGUGUUAUGAUCUACGUGGAAAGUUUUGAUUCGGUUUUUCCUGUUUCCUUUCUUUCGCAAUGUUUUCAGGUUAUUCGAGUUCACCUAUGACGUUUUGCUGGAGUGGUUACGUUCCAGGUUUUGUUGGUACUGGCCGGGUUCGACCCCCAGCUUCAAGACAAUCCAUGCAUGUAUUUCGAAGAGAGAUCAGAUUGGUUGGUCAUAAUAAAAGGCUUUAGUGUGUUCAAUAUUUCUUGGAAUUGUUAUAUUGUCUUUGCUGUGAAUCUUUCGUAUGAAGUCAUAAUAAAAUGCAUGCUAUAUUUAUAUACUUUAUAUACUUUGUUGUGAAUCUUUCAUAUGAAGUUAAGAGCUAUUAGCAUGUUAUUGAUGUUUACCUUCUUAAUUAUGAUGGUUAUGAAGUUGUAGUGC